RNAcentral lists this ribosomal RNA (484 nucleotides) under uncultured bacterium. Its description in RNAcentral is "partial 16S ribosomal RNA". It matches the Rfam family "Bacterial small subunit ribosomal RNA", at positions 30 to 507 of the family's 1533-position model. The record is from RNAcentral.
AUUGAACGCUGGCGGCAGGCCUAACACAUGCAAGUCGAGCGGAUGAAGGGAGCUUGCUCCUGGAUUCAGCUGCGGACGGGUGAGUAAUGCCUAGGAAUCUGCCUGGUAGUGGGGGAUAACGUCCGGAAACGGGCGCUAAUACCGCAUACGUCCUGAUGGAGAAAGUGGGGGAUCUUCGGACCUCACGCUAUCAGAUGAGCCUAGGUCGGAUUAGCUAGUUGGUGGGGUAAAGGCCUACCAAGGCGACGAUCCGUAACUGGUCUGAGAGGAUGAUCAGUCACACUGGAACUGAGACACGGUCCAGACUCCUACGGGAGGCAGCAGUGGGGAAUAUUGGGCAAAGGGCGAAAGCCUGAUCCAGCCAUGCCGCGUGUGUGAAGAAGGUCUUCGGAUUGUAAAGCACUUUAAGUUGGGAGGAAGGGCAGUAAGUUAAUACCUUGCUGUUUUGACGUUACCAACAGAAUAAGCACCGGCUAACUUCGUG